RNAcentral lists this ribosomal RNA (253 nucleotides) under uncultured bacterium. RNAcentral's name for it is "partial 16S ribosomal RNA". It matches the Rfam family "Bacterial small subunit ribosomal RNA", at positions 524 to 776 of the family's 1533-position model. The record is from RNAcentral.
UACGUAGGGUGCAAGCGUUAAUCGGAAUUACUGGGCGUAAAGCGUGCGCAGGCGGUUGGGCAAGACAGAUGUGUAAUCCCCGGGCUUAACCUGGGAAUUGCAUUUGUGACUGCACGGCUAGAGUGUGUCAGAGGGGGGUAGAAUUCCACGUGUAGCAGUGAAAUGCGUAGAUAUGUGGAGGAAUACCGAUGGCGAAGGCAGCCCCCUGGGAUAACACUGACGCUCAUGCACGAAAGCGUGGGGAGCAAACAGG